Molecule: ribosomal RNA, 253 nt
Filed under: uncultured bacterium
Lineage: Bacteria
Description: partial 16S ribosomal RNA
Rfam family: Bacterial small subunit ribosomal RNA
Source: RNAcentral
UACGGAGGGUGCAAGCGUUAUCCGGAUUCACUGGGUUUAAAGGGUGCGUAGGUGGGUUGGUAAGUCAGUGGUGAAAUCCCCGAGCUUAACUUGGGAACUGCCAUUGAUACUAUCAGUCUUGAAUACCGUGGAGGUCGGCGGAAUAUGUCAUGUAGCGGUGAAAUGCUCAGAUAUGACAUAGAACACCAAUUGCGAAGGCAGCUGACUACGCGAGUAUUGACACUGAGGCACGAAAGCGUGGGGAUCAAACAGG